RNAcentral lists this ribosomal RNA (357 nucleotides) under uncultured soil bacterium. Its description in RNAcentral is "bacterial SSU rRNA". It matches the Rfam family "Bacterial small subunit ribosomal RNA", at positions 26 to 380 of the family's 1533-position model. The record is from RNAcentral.
AGGAUGAACGCUGGCGGCGUGCUUAACACAUGCAAGUCGAACGAUGAUCCCAGCUUGCUGGGGGAUUAGUGGCGAACGGGUGAGUAACACGUGAGUAACCUGCCCUUAACUCUGGGAUAAGCCUGGGAAACUGGGUCUAAUACCGGAUAUGACUCCUCAUCGCAUGGUGGGGGGGUGAAAGCUUUAUUGUGGUUUUGGAUGGACUCGGCGGCCUAUCAGCUUGUGGUGAGUAUGGCUCACCAAGGCGACGACGGGUAGCCGGACCUGAGAGGGUGACCGGCCACGACUGGGACUGGAGACACGGCCCAGACUCCGUACGGAGGCAGCAGGUGGGAAUGUGCACGAAGUGGGACGAAA